AGAGUUUGAUCCUGGCUCAGAACGAACGUUGGCGGCGUGGAUUAGACAUGCAAGUCGAACGGACAUAAUAAUUUCGAUUGUUAUGUUAGUGGCGAACGGGUGAGUAACGCGUGAAUAACCUGCCCUUAAGUGGGGGACAACACUUCUAACGAGGUGCUAAUACCGCAUGUGGUGCACAAUUGCAUGAUUGAGCUACUAAAGGCGGCCUCUACUUGUAAGCUGCCGCUUAAGGAGGGAUUCGCGUCCUAUUAGCUUGUUGGUGAGGUAAUGGCUCACCAAGGCGACGAUGGGUAGCCGGUCUGAGAGGAUGUCCGGCCACACUGGGACUGAGAUACGGCCCAGACUCCUACGGGAGGCAGCAGUCUAGAAGCUUAGUCUAAUGCGCGAAAGCGUGAACUAGCGACGCCGCGUGAGCGAUGAAGCCCUUCGGGGUGUAAAGCUCUGUUGUAUGGGACGAAACAACCAUUCGUGAAUAGCGGGUGGUCUUGACGGUACCAUACCAGAAAGUCACGGCUAACUCCGUGCCAGCAGCCGCGGUAAUACGGAGGUGGCGAACGUUGUUCGGAUUAACUGGGUGUAAAGGGUGUGUAGGCGGGCUUUCAAGUCAGGUGUGAAAUCCUACGGCUCAACCGUAGGCCUGCAUUUGAAACUGUAAGUCUUGAGUUUAGGAGAGGGAGGUGGAAUUCUUGGUGUAGCGGUGGAAUGCGUAGAUAUCAAGAAGAACACCGGUGGCGAAGGCGACCUUCUGGCCUAAAACUGACGCUGAGGCACGAAAGCAUGGGGAGCGAACAGGAUUAGAUACCCUGGUAGUCCAUGCUGUAAACGAUGGGUACUAGGUGUUGGAAGUACUGACCCUUCCAGUGCCGUAGCUAACGCAUUAAGUACCCCACCUGGGGAGUACGGUCGCAAGGCUGAAACUCAAAGGAAUUGACGGGGCCCCGCACAAGCGGUGGAGCAUGUGGUUUAAUUCGAUGCAACGCGAAGAACCUUACCAGGACUUGACAUAUAUCUGAAUGUUAUAGAAAUAUGGCAGCCCUUCGGGGCAGAUAUACAGGUGUUGCAUGGCUGUCGUCAGCUCGUGUCGUGAGAUGUUGGGUUAAGUCCCGUAACGAGCGCAACCCUUGUCCUUAGUUGCCAGCAGGUUAAGCUGGGCACUCUAAGGAGACUGCCGAGGUAGAAACUUGGAGGAAGGUGGGGAUGACGUCAAGUCAUCACGGCCCUUACGUCCUGGGCUACACACGUGCUACAAUGACCAAUACAAAGGGUCGCGAUACCGCGAGGUGGAGCUAAUCCCAAAAAGUUGGUCUCAGUUCGGAUUGGAGUCUGCAACUCGACUUCAUGAAGGUGGAAUCGCUAGUAAUCGCUGAUCAGCAGGCAGCGGUGAAUACGUUCCCGGGGCUUGUACACACCGCCCGUCAAGCGAUGAAAGCCGGGAGUACCCGAAGCCGUUUGUCUAACCGUAAGGAGGACGGCGUCUAAGGUAAGACUGGUGAUUGGCGCUAAGUCGUAACAAGGUA
RNAcentral lists this ribosomal RNA (1517 nucleotides) under metagenome. RNAcentral describes it as "bacterial SSU rRNA". It matches the Rfam family "Bacterial small subunit ribosomal RNA". The record is from RNAcentral.